CCUACGGGAGGCAGCAGUGGGGAAUAUUGGUCAAUGGACGAAAGUCUGAUCCAGCCAAGUAGCGUGAAUGAUGACUGCCCUCUGGGUUGUAAACUUCUUUUAUAUGGGAAUAAAAUGUUCCACGUGUGUGAUUUUGUAUGUACCAUAUGAAUACGGAUCGGCUAACUCCGUGCCAGCAGCCGCGGUAAUACGGAGGAUCCGAGCGUUAUCCGGAUUUAUUGGGUUGAAAGGGACCGUAGGUGGAUUGUUAAGUCAGUUGUGAAAGUUUGCGGCUAAACCGUAAAAUUGCAGUUGAAACUGGCAGGCUUGAGUACAGUAGAGGUGGGCGGAAUUCGUGGUGUAGCGGUGAAAUGCUUAGAUAUCACGAAGAACUCCGAUGGCGAAGGCAGUUCACUGGACUGCAACUGACAUUGAGGCUCGAAAGUGUGGGUAGCAAACAGGAUUAGAUACCCGAGUAGUC
This 460-nucleotide ribosomal RNA is filed under the name uncultured bacterium. RNAcentral's name for it is "partial 16S ribosomal RNA". It matches the Rfam family "Bacterial small subunit ribosomal RNA", at positions 338 to 795 of the family's 1533-position model. The record is from RNAcentral.